This 200-nucleotide small RNA is filed under the name Pantoea sp. GL120224-02. RNAcentral's name for it is "GlmZ RNA activator of glmS mRNA". It matches the Rfam family "GlmZ RNA activator of glmS mRNA". Rfam says of the family: This RNA was discovered in E. coli during a large scale screen. The sraJ gene was expressed in early logarithmic phase, but its level decreased with cell growth. Specific cleavage products of this RNA were found. The record is from RNAcentral. Lineage: Bacteria; Pseudomonadati; Pseudomonadota; Gammaproteobacteria; Enterobacterales; Erwiniaceae. RNAcentral also lists the same sequence under 1 other name.
GUAGAUGCUCAUUCCACCUCUUAUGUUUGCUGAUGCUACAUAAACCUGGGAAUGAUGCAGAGCCCCUUACGGUAUCCGUUGUCCAGCCUGGCAGUUAUUGCGCACGCUUUACUGCAGUAAGAAGGACAUUACGUUGAGUCGGAUACCAUCAGUUGUCUGAACGACCUGAUCUUACACCUGCUUAUGGCAGGUGUUUUUUU